RNAcentral lists this ribosomal RNA (460 nucleotides) under uncultured bacterium. RNAcentral's name for it is "partial 16S ribosomal RNA". It matches the Rfam family "Bacterial small subunit ribosomal RNA", at positions 338 to 795 of the family's 1533-position model. The record is from RNAcentral.
CCUACGGGAGGCUGCAGUGAGGAAUAUUGGUCAAUGGGCGCAAGCCUGAACCAGCCAAGUAGCGUGAAGGAUGACUGCCCUACGGGUUGUAAACUUCUUUUAUAAAGGAAUAAAGUGAGCCACGUGUGCCUUUUUGUAUGUACUUUAUGAAUAAGGAUCGGCUAACUCCGUGCCAGCAGCCGCGGUAAUACGGAGGAUCCGAGCGUUAUCCGGAUUUAUUGGGUUUAAAGGGAGCGUAGGUGGGUUGUUAAGUCAGUUGGGAAAGUUUGAGGCUCAACAGUAAAAUUGCAAUUGAUACUGGCAGUCUUGAGUACAGUUGAGGCAGGCGGAAUGCGUGGUGUAGCGGUGAAAUGCUUAGAUAUCACGCAGAACUCCGAUUGCGAAGGCAGCUUACUAAGCUGCCACUGACAUUGAUGCUCGAAAGUGUGGGGAUCAAACAGGAUUAGAUACCCCUGUAGUC